GUCCUGGUGGUUAGUGCGAGGUGGAACUACCUCUUCCCAUUCCGAACAGAGAAGUAAAACGCCUCAGCGCGGACGAUAGUAUGCGGGCAACUGUAUGCGAAAAUACGUCAUCGCCAGGACA
Molecule: ribosomal RNA, 121 nt
Filed under: Candidatus Woesebacteria bacterium GW2011_GWB1_38_5
Lineage: Bacteria; Candidatus Woeseibacteriota
Source: RNAcentral